This is a small nuclear RNA of Ochotona curzoniae (black-lipped pika), 107 nucleotides long. The record is from RefSeq and is a predicted model, not a curated record. NCBI's taxonomy places the organism in Eukaryota, Metazoa, Chordata, Mammalia, Lagomorpha, Ochotonidae.
GUGCUCAUUUCAGCAGCACAUUUACUAAAAUUGGAACAAUACAGAGAGGAUUGGUGUGGCCCAUGUGCAAGGAUGACAUGUAAAUUUGUGAAGUGUUCCAUAUUUUU